This 402-nucleotide ribosomal RNA is filed under the name uncultured bacterium. Its description in RNAcentral is "bacterial SSU rRNA". It matches the Rfam family "Bacterial small subunit ribosomal RNA", at positions 355 to 774 of the family's 1533-position model. The record is from RNAcentral.
UAGGGAAUAUUAGAAAUGGACGAAAGUCUGAUCUAGCAACACCGCGUGUGCGAAGAAGGCCUUCGGGUUGUAAAGCACUUUUUGGAAGGAUUAGGAAGGAAUGUACUUCCAGAAUAAGUCUCGGCUAACUACGUGCCAGCAGCCGCGGUAACACGUAGGAGGCAAACGUUAUCCGGAUUUACUGGGCGUAAAGCGCGUGUAGGUGGUUCUGUAAGUAGGGCGUGAAAGCUCCUGGCUCAACUGGGAGAGGCCGUUCUAAACUGCAGAGCUAGAGGAUGGUAGAGGGAGGUGGAAUUCCGGGUGUAGCGGUGGAAUGCGCAGAUAUCCGGAGGAACACCAGUGGCGAAUGCGGCCUCCUGGACCAUUCCUGACACUCAGACGCGAAAGCUAGGGUAGCAAACA